CUAGGGUCCCCCCGCAAUGAUACCUUGUGGACUCGGUCAGGCCUGGAAGGGAGCAGCCGCAGCAAGUGACUCAUGUGCCGAGGUGUUGGCUCUAGGGA
RNAcentral lists this signal recognition particle RNA (98 nucleotides) under Parashewanella curva. Its description in RNAcentral is "Bacterial small signal recognition particle RNA". It matches the Rfam family "Bacterial small signal recognition particle RNA". Rfam says of the family: The signal recognition particle (SRP) is a universally conserved ribonucleoprotein involved in the co-translational targeting of proteins to membranes. Archaeal SRP consists of a 7S RNA and homologues of the eukaryotic SRP19 and SRP54 proteins. In most bacteria, the SRP consists of a 4.5S RNA and the Ffh protein (a homologue of the eukaryotic SRP54 protein). The record is from Rfam by way of RNAcentral. Lineage: Bacteria; Pseudomonadati; Pseudomonadota; Gammaproteobacteria; Alteromonadales; Shewanellaceae.